Molecule: transfer RNA, 151 nt
Filed under: Pyrenophora teres f. teres 0-1
Lineage: Eukaryota; Fungi; Ascomycota; Dothideomycetes; Pleosporales; Pleosporaceae
Rfam family: tRNA
About the family: Transfer RNA (tRNA) molecules are approximately 80 nucleotides in length. Their secondary structure includes four short double-helical elements and three loops (D, anti-codon, and T loops).
Source: Rfam by way of RNAcentral
GACACGAUGGCCGAGUGGUCUAAGGCGGUAGAUUUAAGCUUUGCUUGGAUCUCUACUACAGUAAUGUGCGUGGGUAUGUAUCUUCCGCAACCUCUUGACUAUGUGGAAAAUAUGCUAACAGAGGUAUUAGGUUCGAACCCCACUCGUGUCA